This 497-nucleotide ribosomal RNA is filed under the name uncultured bacterium. RNAcentral's name for it is "partial 16S ribosomal RNA". It matches the Rfam family "Bacterial small subunit ribosomal RNA", at positions 28 to 507 of the family's 1533-position model. The record is from RNAcentral.
GACGAACGCUGGCGGCGUGCCUAACACAUGCAAGUUGAGCGAUGAAGAUUGGUUCUCGUACCAAUCUGAAGAGCAGCGAACGGGAGAGUAACGCGUGGGGAAUCUGCCUUUGAGAGGGGGACAACAAUUGGACACGAAUGCUAAUACCGCAUAACAACUUUAACCAUAAGUUUUAAGUUUGAAAGAUUCAAUUGCAUCACUCACAGAAGAUCCCGCGUUGUAUUAGCUAGAUGGCGUGGUAAAGGCUGACCAAGGCGAUGAUACAUAGCCGACCUGAGAGGAUGAGCAGCCACAUAGGGACGUUGACAAGGACCAAAAUCCUGCGGGAGACACGAGUAGGAAGUCUUCGGCAAUGGACAGAAGGCUGACCGAGGAACGGCGCGAAAGUGAAGAAGAGUUUCGUAGCGUAAAACUCUAUUGGUAGAGAAGAACGAUGGUGAGAGUAGAAAGCUGAACAAGUGACGGUAGCUACCCAGUAAGGGGCGGCUAACUACGUG